AACACAAACCCAAAGUUGCUUAAAACGAGAUACAUCCAAUAUCAGUGUGUAUCUAGUCCUCAAGAUGGAAUGGAAAACGAUGUCAUUGUAGUCAAGCCUCCAAAAUUGCCAAGACAAACUUUGACAAAUCUUCUCGCUCUUUAAAUGAGCAUAAUAAUAAUAAGGUAUGUAUCUAUAAGUAUUUGAAGAAAUUAAAUAUUAACUAUAUAUCAAAAGGAGAAACUGAAGCCCGGUGACUGUUUGCAAAACUGUUAGUGAUAACAGUUGUUAGACUGACAAUUGAAGCCUGGAGUUGAGCAAUAGCCAAAGCUAGUUUAUCUUUGCUUUGACCAUCAGCUUCAUCGGUUUGAGUUUCGGUUGUUUUAAUUUCAUCAAGUUUUGGUAGCGGAUCCUCAUUUCUUGUAGAUGCAACUCUACCAAACUCUUCAUCAACGCUUUCAGCUGCAGCUCUACCAGAAAUCUUCUCUUCAUCAACGUUUUCAGCUUCCAUGACUUGCUAAAUCUCAGUCUUUAAUUUGUGUAUUUCAUAACUUAGGUUCUAUGUCUUCCUCCACAAUCUCUUUCUCAGUUUGUGUGUCUUCAUUCAAAACCUUAGACAUGUUGAGAGGCUGAAGUAGAAAACCCCUGAAAAAGCUAAAUUCUGGUUUAGAUUUAGGAGACUUGUAAUUGAUAUGUGCAAGGGCUGGACAA
Molecule: long non-coding RNA, 690 nt
Filed under: Arabidopsis lyrata
Lineage: Eukaryota; Viridiplantae; Streptophyta; Magnoliopsida; Brassicales; Brassicaceae
Description: long non-coding RNA (ALYR_LNC002692)
Source: RNAcentral